Molecule: ribosomal RNA, 252 nt
Filed under: uncultured bacterium
Lineage: Bacteria
Description: partial 16S ribosomal RNA
Rfam family: Bacterial small subunit ribosomal RNA
Source: RNAcentral
GACGGAGGAUGCAAGUGUUAUCCGGAAUCACUGGGCGUAAAGCGUCUGUAGGUGGUUUAAAAAGUCCACUGUUAAAAAUUGAAGCUUAACUUCAAAGAUGCCGUGGAAACUUUUAAACUUGAGUAUGGUAGGGUAGAGGGAAUUUCCAGUGGAGCGGUGAAAUGCGUAGAUAUUGGAAAGACCACCAAUGGCGAAGGCACUCUACUGGGCCAUUACUGACACUGAGAGACGAAAGCUAGGGGAGCAAACAGG